UGGGCGUUAAGUUGCAGGGUAUAGACCCGAAACCCGGUGAUCUAGCCAUGGGCAGGUUGAAGGUUGGGUAACACUAACUGGAGGACCGAACCGACUAAUGUUGAAAAAUUAGCGGAUGACUUGUGGCUGGGGGUGAAAGGCCAAUCAAACCGGGAGAUAGCUGGUUCUCCCCGAAAGCUAUUUAGGUAGCGCCUCGUGAAUUCAUCUCCGGGGGUAGAGCACUGUUUCGGCAAGGGGGUCAUCCCGACUUACCAACCCGAUGCAAACUGCGAAUACCGGAGAAUGUUAUCACGGGAGACACACGGCGGGUGCUAACGUCCGUCGUGAAGAGGGAAACAACCCAGACCGCCAGCUAAGGUCCCAAAGUCAUGGUUAAGUGGGAAACGAUGUGGGAAGGCCCAGACAGCCAGGAUGUUGGCUUAGAAGCAGCCAUCAUUUAAAGAAAGCGUAAUAGCUCACUGGUCGAGUCGGCCUGCGCGGAAGAUGUAACGGGGCUAAACCAUGCACCGAAGCUGCGGCAGCGACACUAUGUGUUGUUGGGUAGGGGAGCG
RNAcentral lists this ribosomal RNA (551 nucleotides) under Escherichia coli. Its description in RNAcentral is "partial 23S ribosomal RNA". It matches the Rfam family "Bacterial large subunit ribosomal RNA", at positions 689 to 1238 of the family's 2925-position model. Lineage: Bacteria; Pseudomonadati; Pseudomonadota; Gammaproteobacteria; Enterobacterales; Enterobacteriaceae. The record is from RNAcentral.